Molecule: ribosomal RNA, 460 nt
Filed under: uncultured bacterium
Lineage: Bacteria
Description: partial 16S ribosomal RNA
Rfam family: Bacterial small subunit ribosomal RNA
Source: RNAcentral
CCUACGGGGGGCUGCAGUGAGGAAUAUUGGUCAAUGGACGCAAGUCUGAACCAGCCAAGUCGCGUGAAGGAUGACGGCCCUAUGGGUUGUAAACUGCUUUUAUAUGAGAAUAAACUGUUCCACGUGUGGGAUUUUGUAUGUACCGUAUGAAUAAGGAUCGGCUAACUCCGUGCCAGCAGCCGCGGUAAUACGGAGGAUCCGAGCGUUAUCCGGAUUUAUUGGGUUUAAAGGGUGCGUAGGUGGAUGGUUAAGUCAGUUGUGAAAGUUUGCGGCUCAACCGCAAAAUUGCAGUUGAAACUGGCAGUCUUGAGUACAGUAGCGGUGGGCGGAAUGCGUGGUGUAGCGGUGAAAUGCUUAGAGAUCACGCAGAACUCCGAUUGCGAAGGCAGCUCACUGGACUGCAACUGACACUGAGGCUCGAAAGUGUGGGUAGCAAACAGGAUUAGAUACCCCAGUAGUC